UACAGGCGGACUUCAGCCGAGCUUCUUCAAUAAGCGAUCUCCAUACGGACUUCAACAAUGCUAAUCGGACUUCCAUAGGACCCUUCAGACUCCUUCAGCGGACGAACCUCCGCAACGCCAUCCGAAGUCCACUGCCGGUCGACCCUCUGCUGGACUCCUCAUGAAACCAAACUUCUCCAACAAAAAAUCUCCAUCCGAGCUUCUACAGCAGAUGACUCCCACCUGCAGCAUCAACGCUCUAGGCACC
This 247-nucleotide long non-coding RNA is filed under the name Elaeis guineensis (African oil palm). RNAcentral's name for it is "long non-coding RNA (EGUI_LNC078819)". Lineage: Eukaryota; Viridiplantae; Streptophyta; Magnoliopsida; Arecales; Arecaceae. The record is from RNAcentral.